This is a long non-coding RNA of Aedes aegypti (yellow fever mosquito), 527 nucleotides long. RefSeq lists it as uncharacterized. The transcript is spliced from 2 exons. NCBI's taxonomy places the organism in Eukaryota, Metazoa, Arthropoda, Insecta, Diptera, Culicidae. The record is from RefSeq and is a predicted model, not a curated record.
CUUGCAGGCCAUUGACAUCCCUAUACCAUUAUACAAAGCUUGACAGUAGCCAUCAUGUCCCGGGCGAUAAAUGAAUAACGCCCAUUGUCAAUCGCGUGAGCUGUCAAAACUGUCAAGCAUUGCUUUGUUUAAUGUUUACACUUUCGCUAUGAACAAUGUUGAUCUCAUUCAAUUCCAACAAAGUUAGAAAUGUUCGAAAAGCCAACAGAUAGUAAAUGUUUGCCAGUAUCAACGUCGUUUAAGUGAUAAAGUCUUGUUUCGAGGCUCACAUUUGGAGAAAAACGGCAUUCGUUGAAGCAGUUCCAGAGGAGAAAGCGAUGGUGAACAAAUGGAAUUCGAUCCACAUAAAUGCUGAUGGAUUGCUGGAUAUGGUUAUGCUCCAGCCUUCGAGGCUCAGUUUGAAAUAUUUGUUGCGGUUUCAACAGGAUGUGAGGAUGUGAAAUGCACGUCCGGAUGUUUUCGAAUGUUAAAUAAAUGAAACCCCCAGUGUUUAGUAAAAAUAUAUAGUGAAACGUGUUAAAAUUGAA